GGAAUUCCAUACCCCUCAAGACUGAAAUCAAUCCAAACCAAAUAUACAUAAUGCAUGCACAAAAACCUCUAAUAAAAUUCAAGUUCUGCAAUUCAAUCAGAAAACAAAAGAAUCUCCGGUAUCUAAUUGAUGCCCCCUGUUAGAAAUAACCUUGUGCUCGUAGCUUACAUGUUGUCUUUACAGUUUCAGUUGGUUGUUUUCAUUAAGUUCAGGUAUAUAGCAUGCAGGUGCACGAGGCCAUGACUUGUGUGGAUCCCGUGCACGUUCUGCAGGUGGUGGCGAGAAUAGCUCAUUGCGACCGGGUCUUUAGGCAUGAAUGGGUUGUAACUUGAAUUGGAGGUCAUGGGGAUGGACGUGGCCAACGUUCCAGCACGAGACACGCUCUGUACAUGUAGGUCGUUUCCUAUAUAUGCUGAAUAAAAACAGAAAACGCAGCACUUCGUUCGCUGCACAAAAACUACCGAGUUCACGUCGCGUUCUAGUUCGUGUGUGUGUUCUCGGCGAUCCGGCUCGAGAUCGUGUUCCUGCGGCAUCCCGCCGAUGCAAGUCGCUGGAGUUUCGCCGUCAAGUGGUAUCAGGGCCAACAAGUGGCGCAGAAGCAUGUCUUCCGUAUCGGGGAGGUCGCCGCCGGGUGGAUCCCAGUCGCCGCUGCACGUGUGUGCUAGGCGAUCGCCCACGCGCUGGAACGGGCGUCGUCAGCGAGGUGUAGUACGUGAAGUCGUCGUCGAGCGAGUUGUGGAGAGGAUCGCGGCCUCGGGGCCGGCGAACUUUCCUGUUCUCACCAAGACCAACUACAAUGAUUGGUCAUUGUUGAUGAAGAUCAAGCUGGAGGCGAGGGGUCUCUGGAACGCCAUUGAUCCCGGUCGACCGCAUGGCGCUAGAUGCGUUGUGCAGUGCACUUCCUUCAGAGAUGCUGUCGACGGUUGGGAACAGGGGCUCAGCAAGAGAAGCUUGGGAGAGUAUCAAGACGAUGAGGAUCGGAGAUGAACGCAUCCGGAAGGCGAGUGCUCAGAAAGUGAGACGCGAUUACGAGACACUCGCGUUCCGGGAUGGCGAAUCCGUUGAAGAUUUUGCUCUGCACCUGAGUGGCGUGGUGAGCUAGUUGGCAAUCCUGGGAGAUCCGGAACUGGAGGAGAAGGUCGUCCAGAAGUAUCUUCGCAUGGCGCGCCCCAGGUUCAAACAACUCAUUAUUUCAAUUGAAACUCUUCUUGAUACAUCAACCUUGUCAGUGGAAGAGAUCACUGGUCGGCUCAAGUCAGCCGAAGAUGAUCCAGAAACACCAUCAGGCCAAUCCUCCGGGAAGCUGUACCUCACUGAAGAAGAAUGGAUAGAGAGGUACAAGAAGAAGGAGCAAGGAGGAGGGCGAGGUGGAAGCAAUUCUGGUGGCCGCAGUAAGCGUGGCCGUGGAAGAUGGCGCGGUAGAGGCGGCAGGAGCACUGAGGGUUCUGGGGGAGGAUCCUCCAGAAACAAUGACAAGUGUAGAAGUUGUGGAAAGAUGGGACACUGGGCAUAUGAGUGCAAGAGCAAGCCCAGGAAGGAGGAGCAAGCUCAUGUAACCCAGGACAAUGAGCAAAGUCUGUUGUUCCUUGAAGUAGCUUCAGAGCCUGUCCCGGCAUUAUCAGAGCCGGGGGAGAACCUUGUGGCAAGAAAGCAGUUGGGAGAUGCAACUGUUAAUGAGAAGGAAGCCAUGCCUACAUCAAGAGCAAAGAAUAGUAGGAUGGUGCAUCUUGCCGAAGGAAAGGUGUUUGCAGCACUUGGAGAAGAAGGGGAUCGAGACUCUCGCCGGUGGGUAUUGGAUACUGGAGCAACCAACCAUAUGACAGGGUCAAGGUCAGCAUUCUCCAGUAUUGAUUCAAGCAUCACAGGCACAGUUAGGUUUGGAGAUGGAUCAGUGGUUCGCAUUGAGGGACGUGGCACAAUUCUUUACUCAUGUAAGAAUGGUGAGCACCGAAGUCUGCAGAAUGUAUAUCUCAUUCCACGCCUCACAACCAACAUUAUCAGCAUUGGUCAGCUUGAUGAGAGUGGGCACCCUGUUCACAUUGACAAUGGUGUAAUGAGAAUUCGUGAGGAAGAUGGAAGAUUGCUUGCCAAGAUCCACAGAAGUACUUCACGACUGUAUGUUCUUGAGCUGAACAUUGCAAGGCCAGUAUGUUUAGCAGCACAUGCUGAGGAGGACGCCUGGAGAUGGCAUGCUCGUUUUGGGCACUUAAACUUUGGCUCGUUGAGAAAGAUGGGAAAGGAAGGUCUUGUGCGUGGACUGCCGAUGCUGAAUCAAACUGAGAAGUUGUGUGAAGCUUGCUUGGCAGGAAAACAACGGCGAGCUCCAUUUCCCCAACAAGCAAGAGGUCGUGCAGAGAGACCGUUGGAGCUCCUUCAUGGUGAUCUUUGUGGACCGAUCACCCUAGCAACCCCAAAUGGGAAUAGGUAUUUUCUUCUCCUGGUGGAUGAUUUCAGUCGCUAUAUGUGGAUAGCACUGCUUCCUAGCAAGGAUGGGGCAGCCACUGCGAUUAAAAGGAUUCAAGCAGCAGCAGAAAGAAAAAGUGGCAAGCAACUUGGAGCCUUACGUACAGAUAGAGGAGGUGAGUUUACUGCAACACAGUUUUCUGAAUACUGUGCAGAACUUGGUGUAAGGUGUCAGAUCACUGCACCCUACAGCCCUCAGCAAAAUGGGGUUGUGGAACGUAGAAAUCAGUCAGUUGUGGGCACGGUGCAUGCUCAAGGCAAGAGGCUUACCUGGUUUGUUUUGGGGGGAAGCUGUUAAUGCUGCAGUAUACCUUCUGAACCGGUCGACAUCAAAGGGAGCUGGGGGCAGGACCCCUUAUGAGCUUUGGACAGGAAGUCUGCUAGCGGUUCAUCAUCUUCGGAUUUUUGGGUGUUUGGCACAUGUGAAGGUUACAGCACCACAUCUGAAGAAACUUGAUGAUAGGAGCUGACCGAAGAUUUUUGUCGGAUAUGAACCAGGUUCAAUGGCCUACCGAGUGUAUGAGCCAAGAAGCCGAUGAGUACACAUAAGUAGAGAUGUGAUCUUCGAUGAGAGUGCUCAGUGGAAGUGGGAUGUAGGGUCUGAAAGGAACACUGAAAUGGAGUUCACUAUUGCAGAUUUCCCAUACACACAGAUGCAAAAGGAGUGGUGUGCAGAUGCUGAACCAGGUGAACAUCCAAGUGCAGAUAUUUUAGAAAUGCCAUAGUAUUCGGCAAGUCCGGGUAAUGCAGUCUCUUCAGAAGUUGCUGCAACAACAUCUAGCUCUCGGUCAGUUGAAGGAUCCAAGUCCACACCCCUGAAUGGUUCACCUACAACACCAACAGCAGACAGAAGCACCAGUGCAGUUUGCAUCUCCACCAACACAAGCUGGUGAUGAUCUGGAUGCAGAUCACAAUGAAGAAGCACCAAUUCGAUAUCGUAGCAUGUCAAAUGUCCUUGGUUCAGGAGAAACUCCAGGGAUGGCCCUUCGAGAGUUAUAGGAAGACCUUCUUCUGACUGAAGGAGAGGAGCCGGCAUCAUUUUCACAAGCUAAAAAAGAAGAACCCUGGAGACGUGCUAUGCUAGAAGAAAUAUCUUCAAUUGAAGAGAAUGAAACUUGGAGCCUGGUUGAUCCUCCAACUGAUCAAAGACCCAUUGGUCUCAAAUGGGUGUUUAAGUUGAAAAAGGAUGCAGCAGGGAAGGUGGUGAAGCAUAAAGCAAGGCUUGUUGCAAAAGGUUAUGUGUAGAGGGUUGGAGUAGAUUUUGAUGAGGUGUUUGCUCCUGUAGCGAGGCUUGAUUCAGUCAGAUUGCUCUUGGCACUUGCAGCACAACAAGGAUGGUCAGCACACCAUAUGGAUGUCAAAUCUGCAUUUCUGAAUGGGAUUUUAGAAGAAGAAGUGUAUGUGGUGCAACCUCCAGGAUUUAUUGUUGAUGGGCAGGAGCACAGAGUGUAUAAACUGAAGAAAGCAUUGUAUGGGCUAAGACAAGCUCCAAGAGAUUGGAAUACAAAAUUGAUUCCACCCUCAAGAAGUUGGGUUUCAGGCAAAGCCCUUUAGAGCAUGGAUUGUACUCCAGAGGAACAGGUAACUCAAGAAUACUUGUGGGAGUAUAUGUUGAUGAUCUUGUGAUCAUUGGUGGAAAUGAUGAAGAAAUCAAUGGGUUCAAAAGGCAAAUGAAAGCUCAGUUCAAGAUGAGUGAUCUUGGACUUCUAAGUUUCUACCUGGGAAUUGAAGUUCAUCAAGCUGAGGGAUGCAUCACUCUCAGCCAAGCAGCUUUUGCAGCCCACAUUGUUGAAAAAGCUGGUCUCAUGGAUUGUAAUCCAAGUGCUACACCCAUGGAGCCCAAGCUGAAAUUAAGAAAGAAGAGUACAGCACCAUUGGUGGAUGAAACAGCUUACAGAAGUCUUGUAGGAAGUUUGAGGUACUUGGUUAAUACAAGACCUGAUUUGGCAUUUUCAGUAGGCUAUGUGAGCAGGUUCCUAGAGAGGCCAACAGAGGAACAUUUACUGGCUGUCAGGAGAAUCAUUCGUUUUGUAGCUGGGACCAUUCAUCAUGGGUGCAAAUAUGUGAGGAAUGAUAACCGGAAAUUACAUGGUUACAGUGACAGUGACCUUGCAAAUGAUGUUGAUGAUAGGAAGAGUACAACUGGUGCAGUGUUCUUCUUGGGUGACAAUCCAGUUAGUUGGCAAUCACAGAAGCAAAAAGUGGUGGCCCUCUCUUCUUCUUCUUGUGAAGCUGAGUAUAUUGCAGCUGCUACUACAACCUGUCAGGGUUUGUGGCUGAGCAGGUUGCUUGGAGAUAUCAGAAACACACAGGCUGAAGCUGUAAGUCUGAUGGUGGAUAACAAAUCUGCUUUGGCACAGAUCAAGAACCCUGUUUUCCAUGACAGAAGUAAACAUAUCCAGACCAGGUUUCACUUCAUCAGAGAAGCAGCAGAGAAUGGGGAGAUCAAGCCAGACUACAUAUGCACUGGAGAUCAACUUGCUGACAUCUUUACCAAACCACUUCCAGGUGUUCGGUUUCAGAUGCUGCAAGCUCGUUUUGGAGUAGGAAAUGUAAGAGCACAAGCUUAGGGGGAGAAUUGUUAGAAAUAACCUUGUGCUCGUAGCUUACAUGUUGUCUUUACAGUUUCAGUUGGUUGUUUUCAUUAAGUUCAGGUAUAUAGCAUGCAGGUGCACGAGGCCAUGACU
RNAcentral lists this long non-coding RNA (5150 nucleotides) under Panicum hallii. RNAcentral's name for it is "long non-coding RNA (PHAL_LNC000916)". Lineage: Eukaryota; Viridiplantae; Streptophyta; Magnoliopsida; Poales; Poaceae. The record is from RNAcentral.